Molecule: ribosomal RNA, 467 nt
Filed under: uncultured bacterium
Lineage: Bacteria
Description: partial 16S ribosomal RNA
Rfam family: Bacterial small subunit ribosomal RNA
Source: RNAcentral
GAUGAACGCUGGCGGCGUGCUUAACACAUGCAAGUCGAACGGUGAAGCAGAGCUUGCUCUGUGGAUCAGUGGCGAACGGGUGAGUAACACGUGAGCAACCUCCCCCUGACUCUGGGAUAAGCCCUGGAAACGGCGUCUAUAACUCGAUAUGAGCUGCGACCGCAUGGUCAGCAGUUGGGAAGAUUUUUCGGUCUGGGAUGGGCUCACGGCCUAUCAGCUUGUUGGUGAGGUAAUGGCUCACCAAGGCGUCGACGGGUAGCCGGCCUGAGAGGGUGACCGGCCACACUGGGACUGAGACACGGCCCAGACUCCUACGGGAGGCAGCAGUGGGGAAUAUUGCACAAUGGGCGAAAGCCUGAUGCAGCAACGCCGCGUGAGGGAUGACGGCCUUCGGGUUGUAAACCUCUUUUAGCAGGGAAGAAGCGAAAGUGACGGUACCUGCAGAAAAAGCGCCGGCUAACUACGUG